This 434-nucleotide long non-coding RNA is filed under the name Homo sapiens (human). RNAcentral's name for it is "non-protein coding lnc-MEMO1-1:2". The record is from RNAcentral. Lineage: Eukaryota; Metazoa; Chordata; Mammalia; Primates; Hominidae.
GUUUGUGCUGGGAGCUGGUGGCGCGGUGCAGGGCUCUUAAGAACGAACGGCUUGGGCGCGGACUGGUAUCCGGGGACUGUGACUUGCAGGGUCCGCCAUGGAGCCAGAGCAGAUGCUGGAGGGACAAACGCAGGUAUCAGGAGGCCGUGGAUUCAGGGUGGCGGUGUGCAGGGAGGCAGCGAGAAAGGGGGGACUUAUAUCUCUGUGACCGGUGUUUUGUUUUCUAGGUUGCAGAAAAUCCUCACUCUGAGUACGGUCUCACAGACAACGUUGAGAAACCCCGGAGAGCGGAGCGUGCACGUUGAGAUUCCUCGGCGGGUAGGCAGCGGUGCUGGGCAUGCUCAGUGGGCAGGACCCGUUAGAGUGGCGAGCACGGUGGCUCACGCCUGUAAUCCCAGCACUUUGGGAGGCUGAGGCGGGCGGAUCACGAGGUC